RNAcentral lists this long non-coding RNA (850 nucleotides) under Salmo salar (Atlantic salmon). RNAcentral's name for it is "lncRNA (ENSSSAG00000105528.1)". Lineage: Eukaryota; Metazoa; Chordata; Actinopteri; Salmoniformes; Salmonidae. The record is from RNAcentral.
UGAAAGCAUACGCUGCAGCUAGCUAGCACUGCAGUGCAUACAAUGUGGUGAGUGGUUGACUCAAAGAGAGAGAAAGACAAUAGUUGAACAGUUUUGAACAAAUACAUUUCUUCCAAAAUUAAGGAGAAGCAAGAGAGAGAGAAGUAGCUAUAUUUUUUUUUUUUUUUACUUUCACUUUCACUUAGCUAGCUGAAUGCAGCUAGCUAGCUUAACCUACUCCAACACCUGGCUCAAACAGAGGGAUGCUAUGUUAGCUAGCUGGCUAUGGCUAUCCAACACUGGAACUCUUCCAAGUCAAGAGGGAGCGGGAUCUUUGCGUCACGUGCCUAGGGACAAGACCUGUGAACUACCUGCCCUCCAGGACACCUACAGCACCCGGUGUCACAGGAAUGCCAAAAAGAUCAUCAAGGACAACAACCACCUGAGCCACUGCCUGUUCACCCCGCUACCAUUCAGAAUGCGAGGUCAUUACAGGUGCAUCAAAGCUGGGACCGAGAGACUGAAAAAUAGCUUCUAUCUCAAGGUCAUCAGACUGUUAAACAGCCAUCACUAACACAGUGAGGCUGCUGCCUACAUACAGACUUGAAAUCAUUGGCCACUUUAAUAAAUGGAUCACUAGUCACUUUAAUAAUGCCACUUUAAUAAUGUUUACAUAUCUUGCAUUACUCAUCUCAUAUGAAUAUACUGUAUUUUAUACCAUCUAUUGCAUCUUGCCUGUGCCGCUCAGUCAUUGCUCAUCCAUAUAUGUAUAUGUACAUAUUCUUAUGCUAUUCCUUUACUUAGAUUUGUGUGUAUUAGGUAGUUAUUGUGGAAUUGUUAGAUUACUUGUUAGAUAUCGCUGCACUGUCGG